CCUUCUGUUCUCUAUCUCAUUCUCUCGCGCUCAGUCCAUCAUUUUCUCGUCUCUCGCGCUCGGGGCUUGUUUGCUGACGAACAAAAACGCGAAAGGAUGUAAAUGAAUGAAGGGAAAGCGGCUCGCGCACGCAGAGCGCGAACAAAAGCAGUCGAGCCCGGUUUAGCAGUGCGUGUGAUGCCGCAGAUCCUCCUCUAACUUUCAUCCUUCACUUUCAUCUGAAGCCGAAGACACGAGGACGCGCAGGUGUUGAAAGUGUCUCACAGACGAGCUCUGCUUCAGUAAAGUGGUGAAAGAUGAACUGAUCCUUCGAUGAGCUUCGAUGAUGUCACUUCCUGUAAGUGAAGUGAUUGGAGAAAUGCCCAUGCCUUUAUUUUGUUGAACACAUUUCAACAUAUGCACAGCUCUAUUUCACACACUCAUCUCAAGUCUCUAGAUGAAUUAUAAAAUCUGUAAAUGAAUAUUUGAAUAAAACUCAGAGCUGUAUGUUAGAUUCACUAAUGCAAUGAUCCUCAGAAACUCACCUGAUUCUGUAAUUAAUACUGUAAUGAGUAUAUCUGCGUAUCAGUGAAGCUGUAACUCGAGUAAAGCUGAACGUGUGAUGAUCUUCAAUAAAGCUUCUACU
Long non-coding RNA from Carassius auratus (goldfish), 625 nucleotides. RefSeq lists it as uncharacterized. The transcript has 3 exons. The record is from RefSeq and is a predicted model, not a curated record. NCBI's taxonomy places the organism in Eukaryota, Metazoa, Chordata, Actinopteri, Cypriniformes, Cyprinidae.